This 76-nucleotide transfer RNA is filed under the name Photobacterium damselae. RNAcentral describes it as "tRNA-Arg". Lineage: Bacteria; Pseudomonadati; Pseudomonadota; Gammaproteobacteria; Vibrionales; Vibrionaceae. The record is from RNAcentral. RNAcentral also lists the same sequence under 1 other name.
UUAGCUUAAAUAAAACAUCGCUUUAUUUCGACUCCUAAGGGAAAGGCCACUGGUUCGACUCCAGUAGGGAGCGCCA